CCUACGGGGGGCUGCAGUAGGGAAUAUUGCUCAAUGGGGGAAACCCUGAAGCAGCAACGCCGCGUGGAGGAUGAAGGUUUUCGGAUUGUAAACUCCUUUUGUUAGAGAAGAUAAUGACGGUAUCUAACGAAUAAGCACCGGCUAACUCCGUGCCAGCAGCCGCGGUAAUACGGAGGGUGCAAGCGUUAAUCGGAAUCACUGGGCGUAAAGAGCGCGGAGGCGGGAUCGCAAGUCAGAUGUGAAAUCCUAUGGCUUAACCAUAGAACUGCAUUUGAAACUGUUAUUCGAGAGUAUGGGAGAGGAAAGUGGAAUUCCUGGUGUAGGGGUAAAAUCCGUAGAGAUCAAGAGGAAUACUCAUUGCGAAGGCGACCGGCUAGCACAUAACUGACGCUGAUGAGCGAAAGCGUGGGGAGCAAACAGGAUUAGAUACCCUUGUAGUC
This 440-nucleotide ribosomal RNA is filed under the name uncultured bacterium. RNAcentral describes it as "partial 16S ribosomal RNA". It matches the Rfam family "Bacterial small subunit ribosomal RNA", at positions 338 to 795 of the family's 1533-position model. The record is from RNAcentral.